CUAAGCUCCGCCCAAGGUACCACAUAAUAUUUUUCUGCACGGUGAACUGAUUGGGCAGUACCAGGAAAUGAGAAUCUGGGCGCGUAGACAUGCGAGGUAAAUAUCGACUAAACUGUACACCGUGACAGUUCACAGCAGUGAUACAGAACAACUUUAUGGCAACUCUAUGGUUGCAUUACUGUAUGCUUCAGUUGUUCAUGGGCUGAAAUUCUCUCCAGGACCAGAUGUGUCAGCCUGGCUUUGUAUCAUGCAGCCAG
Long non-coding RNA from Brienomyrus brachyistius, 257 nucleotides. RefSeq lists it as uncharacterized. The transcript has 3 exons. Lineage: Eukaryota; Metazoa; Chordata; Actinopteri; Osteoglossiformes; Mormyridae. The record is from RefSeq and is a predicted model, not a curated record.